Molecule: transfer RNA, 88 nt
Organism: Penicillium flavigenum
Lineage: Eukaryota; Fungi; Ascomycota; Eurotiomycetes; Eurotiales; Aspergillaceae
Rfam family: tRNA
About the family: Transfer RNA (tRNA) molecules are approximately 80 nucleotides in length.
Source: Rfam
GCCUCUGUGGCGCAAUGGUAGCGCGUACGACUCCUAUACAAAAUCACUGGUAAUCGUGAAGUUCCAAGUUCGAGUCUUGGCUGAGGUG